UGACUCUCUUCUCCAGCUUCGUGACCUCCAGCAGGUACGUUUUCUCCCUUCUUCUUCAGUUCUUCUGUCUCCUCUGCUUCGUGACCUUUAGCAGCUACAUUUUUAGCAAUUGUUUUCUUCUUCUUUAAUGUGCAGUCAGCAGUGUGCACAGUCUUUGUUUUUUUUUUGCUCUGUUAUUUAAUUUCUGCAGACUAUUGCAAUAUGGCUAUUGUUUUCUUUAAGAAAAUAUUCUAGUCCUUCGAUAUUUAUUUCUUCCCAACUCAAUUUAGUUUUAUAGUAAUUAUACGGUUAGUUUUGACUUAAUGUUUGCUAAUAUGUUAUUGCUAUUUGAAAUUUUGAAUAUCUAUAUAUUCAAAUAUUUUGGAUAUCUAUGUAUUCAAAGGACGGGUGCCUCGUCGAGCCUUGUCGCCUUUCGCCGUCCAAAACACUACUAUCAAUACCUAUAUACCUAUUCCAUUUAUUUGGGUGGGGACGUAUGGGGAGGGGAGAGAGUGGACUGAGAAUGAGGUAACUGGGUAUCUUUCUAUCAGAUCAUCAAAUCUUCGUAUCCUUCUUGUUGAAUUUUUUUGUUUUUUUACCGAUUAGGUUCUCUUCCAUAUUGAAUCUAGGAAACCUCUUUACUCUGUUAUAUUUAGUCUGAAUGAUGAAUACUUAGCAAGUAGGUCAUUGGAUAAAUGUAUGAAUAUAUGGUUAAUGAAGGAGGCCAAGAUUAUAAAAACUUACAAUGGUGAUGGCGGUAUUUUUGAAGUGUGUUGGAGAAAGGAAGGGAACAAUCUCUUCCAUUUUGAAUCCAGGAAACUUGUUUACUUUGUUGCAUUCAGUCCAAACAGUGAAUACUUGGUAAGUGGGUCAUUGGAUAAAUGCAUGAAUAUAUGAUCAGUGAAGGAGGCCAAGAUUGUAAAACUUAUAAUGGUGAUGCCAAUAUUUCAAAGUGUAUUGGAACAAGGAAGGCAACAAUGUGGCACCUUCUUUUGCAAACAACAAGGUUUGUGUGUUUGAUAUUCGAUUGUGGAGGUUGAGGAAUAACUUUAAAAGGACUUAGGAACACUAAGGCACGGAUUUCACAAUUCCAGAAACUCUGCCUUGCAGAAACGCAUAUUGUAGAUAAGUUUUUUUUAAUUUGUCACUCGAUGUUCAGUUUACCCACGUUGGGGCCGACUAUAUCAUUAUGACUUUGAUUUAAACUUAGGGUUGUGGUACCCUAAUGAUUUAGUAGCCCCAAUAUGGGUAAACCGGACACCGAGUGACAAAUCAAAAAAGCUUAUCUACAAUCUGCAUUUCUGCACGAGAGAGUUUCUUGAAUUGUGAAAUUCCUGCCUCCUCUGUGUUGCCAAGUACUUUUAAAGCUAUUUCUCAACCUCUACAAUCAAAUAUCAAACACACAAACCUUGUUGUUUGCAAAAGAAGGUGCCACAUUGUUGCCUUCCUUGUUCCAAUACACUUUGAAAUAUUGGCAUCACCAUUAUAAGUUUUACAAUCUUGGCCUCCUUCACUGAUCAUAUAUUCAUGCAUUUAUCCAAUGACCCACUUACCAAGUAUUCACUGUUUGGACUGAAUGCAACAAAGUAAACAAGUUUCCUGGAUUCAAAAUGGAAGAGAACCUACUCAGUAAAAAAAUAAAUAUUCAAAAUAGAAGAUAGUUCUUAUUAGUUGAAGGGAAAUGGUCUUUUUGUGGAGCUUUGGACUCAACUCUUGUUCAGAGUUUGUUGAGUUAUACUUUGUAAAUCGGUUGUUGUGUUUUAUAGAGGAAAAGUGAAGAAUACUACAGUUGGACCAAUUUAAUGGUAAACAUUUCAAGAGAUGGAGGAGUAAAAUACUUUUCUACUUAUAUCUACUCAAUGUUUCUUAUGUGCUAACUAAGAAGAAUCCUAGUAAAGUUGACAACACCUCUAUGAAUGAUGAUGAACUUAUUUCUCAUCUAGAGAAGUGGAAAAGUACGAUGGUGAUUCCUACAAGUGUCGGUAUUACAUUCUUACUUGUCUAUUAUAUUUGAUAACUUUUAUGAUUAUUAUAAUUGAACUUACUCUAAUGCAAAGAAAAUUUGGAGAAUAUUGCAUAGUAAGUAUGAUACUGAAGAAGCUGGAGCGAAAAAAUAUGUAGCUAGUAGAUUUUUUCAUUUUCAAAUAGUGGACAACAAAUCAAUGGUUGACCAAGCUCAAGACUUUAUGAUGAUUGUUGAAGAGCUCCGGUCCGAGGAGAUCAAAAUUGGAGAUAACCUUAUUGUUUGUGGCAUAAUAGAUAAACGUCCACCUUCUUGGAAGGAAUUUCAAAAACCUAUGCGCCACAAACAAAAGAAAACCUCUCAUGAGUAAUUGAUAAUGUGAAUCUUCAUGGAAGAGGAGGCAAGGGGCCAAGAUACACUUUUACAAUUAGAAGAGAGUAAUAUUACAAUGAGGUAAAUUUAAUAAGUUCAAAUAACUCUACUCCUAAAUCUCACAAAAAUACUUCUAUAAAGCCUAAGAAGAAAAAUUUCAAGAAAAACAAUCGCCGAUCUCUUAAAAAGAAAAAUAAUGGUACAAAUAACCAAGAACAAAAUCAACAAGUUCAAGACAAGGGACCGUGCAUUGUCUACGAUAAGUUGAUUCUGGUGAAAACUGUCAUGUCUGUCAUGACGUCAGAGAUUGAUUUAAAAAAUAUUCUCCUUUCGAGGAACCCAAAAUCAUCAUGCUUGGUGAUUCUCAUACUAUUCAAGUGCUUGAAACAGAAGAUGUCGAAUUGUGUUUUACCUAUGAAAGGGUAUUGACUUUGAAAGAUGUACUUUAUACUCCUUCCAUAAGAAAAAAAAAAUUGAUGUCUAAUUUUCUUCUUAAUAAAAAAGGUUUCAAACAAAUUAUUUAACUAUCAAUAUAUAAUUGUAAAAAGGCUAUUUUGUGGAAAAGGGGUAUGCUAGUGAUAAGAUGUUCAAGUUGAAUGUUGAAAUGAAUAAAGUUUUUACUUUUAUUUACAUACUCUCUUCUACUAAUUUUUGGUAUGCUCAUUUGUGUCAUAUUAAUGAUCAUUAUUUUGGAAUCAUGAUUAGUUUAAGAUUAAUCCCAAUGAUUAGAAAGAAUUUUGAAAAGUGUGAAGCUUGUAGUAAAGCCAAGAUCACUAAGAGACUACAUUUUCAAGUUGAAAGAAAAGCUGAUUUAUUAGAAUCAUAAGUUCACACCGAUAUUUGUGAACUUGGAGAAAUUUUAAUUCGUGGAGGAAAUAGAUACUCAUCACUUUCAUUGAUGAUUUUUCUAAGUUAACAUAUGUUUACUUUUUUUUUUUGAGAUAAUUAACAUAUGUUUACUUGAUGAAAAAUAAAAGUAAUGCUUUUGAAAAUUUUAAAACUUAUCCAUGAGGUUAAAAAUCAAUUUGAAAGAAAAAUAAAGAGAACUAGAAGUCACGAUAGAGGCCGUGAAUAUGAGUCAAAUGAGUUUAAUCCUUAUUCUCCUAUAUGAAAUGGUGUAGCGAAAAGGUCACAAGCCAAGUUUGAGAUAUUUAAGAGUUUGGAAAGUUACUACUUGUGUUUUUCUUGUUAUGCUUCAAAUAGUAGAGUCUAUAGAUUUUUUUAAUCUUGAAGAUAAUAUUAUAAUAGAAUGUGGUGAGACUAUUUUUCAUAAAAACAAAUUCCCUUUUGAUUCUAAAAAUAGUUGGAGGUCAGAGGAUUGAACAAAAUAUUUUGUCACUACCUUGUUCUACGUCUACUUUGUGACAUAAAAUAUUGAUGAUUUUGAGUUAAGAAGAAGUAAAAGAGGUAGAGUAGAAAAAUAUUUUUGUCCUGAUUUUUAUGUUUUUAAUGUUAGAGAUGAACCUCCUAUUUUACAAGAAGUUUUAUCUUUACAUGAUUCUAUUUAUUUAUUUUUUUGAAAAGAGGUUGUAAAUGAGGAAAUGAAAUCACUAAUUUCUAAUAAAACAUGGAAAUUAGUUGGUUUACAACCGGGUUGUAAAAUAAUUGAUUGCAAAUGGGUCUUACGAUUUUUUUUUGAAAUAGAAUGGUUCUAUUGAUAAAUAUAAGGCUAGACUAGUUGCUAAAUGUUUUAAGGAACUACAAGGCCUUUAAUUUUUUGAUACUUUUUCUUUGAUAAUUAGAAUUACAUCCAUUAAAUUUCUAAUUUUUAUGGAUGCAAUUUUUUAUUUGCAUAUUCAUCAAAUGGAUGUAAAAACUAUUAUUUUUUUUAAAAUAGAGGCCCAAAUGAGAAAAUUUAUAUGGAUCAACCGAGUGAUUUAACUUGUUAAAGUAGACCAAGAAAGCAAAAUGUGUAAACUUACAAGAACAUGUGAUGAAACUUUCUUUGACCAAUCAUAUUAUGUUGAGAAAUUUUGAAAAAAAUAUAACUUUCUUGAUUGCAAGCAUGUUGUAACUUCUUUUUAUUCUAGUGUUCAUUUAUUUUUUGUUCAAAGUAAAAAUGAUGUGAUAAAUCAAAAGGAAUAUGCUUGCUUAAUUUAAAGUUUGAAAUAUGUGAUUUAUUGUAUUAGGCAUAAUAUUGUAUAUACAGUAGGAGUACUUAGCAAGUUCACAAGAAAGCUAGAUAAUGAACAUUGACAUGCUAUAACAAGAGUUGUGAAAUAUUUAAUUGAGACAAAAACUUGUAAUUUGUUCUAUAAAAAGAUAAUGUUGUACUUGAAGGCUUUCUGAAGCAUAUUGAAAACUUUAUCACGUGAUUCCUCUUCUACCACUAGUUACAUUUUUACUUUGGGUGGUGGUGCUAUUUGUUGGAAAUCAAAAAAGAAAGCAAUAAUUGUUAACUCUACUAUAGAGGCUGAAGUAAUUAUUUUAGCUUGAGCUAGUGAGGAAGCAAAUUGGUUGAGAGAUUUAUUAAUUAUUUCAAAUACCUUCUUUUGAAAAUUAAUUCCUCGUAUUUUAACUUAUUGUUAUAACACUGCUGCAAUUAGUAGAGUUCAAAAUCGUUAUUACAACAAUAUAUCCAAACCUAUAAGGAGGAAACAUAGUAAUGUGAGAUCAUAUUUGGCAAGUGAUACCAUUAAUGUUUAUCAUGUCAAAUCUUGGGAAAAUCUUGCAGAUCAUCUUACUAAGGCUUUAAUAGGAGAAAAGGUCUAGAGCAUAUCGAGGGGGAUGAGAUUGAAGUCUAUAUAUCAUUGAGUCAUAUAUGAGGAAACCCAACCUAGGGACUAGAGUUCCUAUAACCAGGUACAAUGAGAAAAUUAAACGAAUCAUAUGCUGACUUGUUGUGAAAAAUGCACUAUUUCUAUUCCCCUCUAUGAUGUGAGUGCAUUGUUUUUUUGUAGUAAAUUAGGGAGGUUGAGUUUAAAAACUCUUAAUGAAAAAUAUAUAGCCCAUAUGGGUGGAGUUUUAAACUUACAGGAGCACUCUCGAAAGAUUUCAUCUAUCUGAGUAAGGAAGUAGGUUGUUUCCUAUAAGAAUUUGGCUAAUUCUCAAAAGCACUCAUAAAAUCACGAUAGCACAAGGCCGUAAUGUGCUGAUUUUUAAAGCUCAUGCCAACACCUUGAUUAUUAUGUGUAACUAGUCAUAUUUUAUUUUCCUUAAACAGUCAUAGUUUAAGUCUGACACCAUUAUGACUUAGGAGUAAAAAUUAUUGUUUUACUAAGUGAAGGUUCAAUGUAUAUUUUUUCCGCUGAGCCUACACCCUGGAUAUGGCCGACACUCGUAACGAUUGCUAGUCCCAAUCGAACCUUUGGCCUUAUUAACUAUGGUACAUAUGGCUUUAUAGAAUAUGCAGAAGCUUUAAUAGAUGAGAAUUUCAAAACAUUUAAAGAACAUAAAACCAUUAUCUGAAAAUACUUAAUAUAAAUAGUAAACGUUUAGCAAAAACAUCUGAGUAAGUAUUGUAACUAUCUUACUUCCUAUCGAUGAAGCCUCUACUAUCUAAAGAUAGGUGAUGGGAAAACAUGCACGACACCUCAAAGUACUACUAAAACUAAAUAAUAAGCUGGAGUCCUACAAAAGCAAGGAGGUCUCACAAAAAUCUGAUGAGAGGAUGUGGUAAUCUCAACGCAAUGCUUGUUGAUGAUCCUAAAUACCUGAAUCUGUAUCAUGAAAUGAUGCAAGUCGAAUGACAUCAGCACAUUAAAUGUAUGGUGUGUAAUAGGGCUGAAUAAAACAAAUAACUGAACUGAAAGAGAUUGAAAGUAACCUGAUUGAAAGUGUAGCUUGAACAUGAGGUAAAAUCAUUUAAGUUUUACAAUAUAAGACAUGCAAUAGAAACAACAUUAAAAUAAUAUAAUAUACUUUUUUGGGGAGUUCCUCUAACAAAAUAUUAUAACUAUGAGCCUAGUAAUGAUACAACGUCCUGCCCACAUUGCCAAAGUCAUCAUAUACCUUGCCGGGUAUAGGAUAACAACUAUAAUCUAUGGAUCCAUCCAAUAUGUCUUACAGAGAGGAAGUGAGGAGUCACCCGAAAUUCGAUACGAUCCUAUCUUAUACGUUGACUACGUAGUUUAUGAGGCUUUUAGUUAAAAUGAACUCUUACUCAAUUCGGUGCUAGAUACUAUCCCAGAAUAAUCAAUAUUAAUUAUGCUCAAUAGCCUUGUUUAGGAACUGGCCUUUAUUUCACUUUCCUUUACUGAAAUGAUUUUCAAAAAAUCAAUUAUGCUAUUUUUUCUCAAUUUCCAAAUAGAAUAUAUGAAACCAUUUAUGUCGUUUUAAAAUCCCAUUUCAAAUCAUGCAUUUAAAUGCUCAUGGACUCUCUUUCCAAGUCCGAAAUUAAUGUAUAAGAAAAACUCAUAUAGGAACCUUUUAAAAAUAUGACUUCAAUAAAUAGGGCUCAUGUAAUAAUGAAAUUAUGAACAACUGUUUAAGAAUCAAUAUUCAUAAGAGAAUCGAAAUCUAAAUGAUUAAGAAAUCGGAACUCAAGAAAAGAAAACACAAACCGAAUUUCGAUUUCAAGAGACUAUGUGUAGAACCCUAAACAUAAUAUUUUACUGAAUGGAUUUAGAUGUAGGGUGUGAGGAAAAACAUAGUCCAUCACUAUGAGUAGUCUUACAUACCUUAAUGACGAUUCUUGAAGAAAAAUCUUGACAGAUGAAGUGUGUAGAAGAAUCUUGAAUUGAAAACCUUAGGUAUCUUGAAGAGAAUCUUGAACUUGGAGCCUUUAGAUCUUGGAAAAUUGGAGAAAUCCCUUUCUUGGAGUUCUUGAUCUUUAGAAGAAGGAGAAUUAGGGAUGUUGAGAAUUUCUAUACGUAUAAUGAUAUUAGGUUACAAUAUGGACUUAGAAAAGUUAUUUCAGGGUAAAAGGUCAAGAAUACCCUUCUGGAAACAUAAGAAGACCAUAUAAAUCAAAGAGAAUGACAUUUUAAUGGAUCUCGUCUGCCAAAUUGGUGAUCUCGAGGUCCCCCAUUGAAAUAUUUGGCGAUUAGCCAAAUGGGCCUUUAGAUCGCCAAAAUAUCUAGAGACUCGAUGUUUUAAGGCUAUUUCAGCGAGCUAAUUUGGCGAUUCAUCAAAUCAUUCAGUGAGUUGCCAAAUGGGAUGGUGUCCUCGCCGAAUUUCUUAGCCCGCACAUAGUGGCAGAGCCAAGAAUUUCACAAAGGGUGUCCAAAAAUAACACAGUAAAAGCACUUUUCAAAAAGUAGAACUAGUGGGUUCAAACACACCAAGCACGUCCUCAUUCCAAGGAGGUGAAACUAGUGGGCUACAACUUGUUGUGUUAAAGGGUGUCCAAAAUAUGUUAUUUAAUCAUUUCGUGUAUCAUUUUACUUGUAUAUAAGAUAUUUUUUUCCGGUGAAGUGGACACCCUAACCACCAUGUGGCUACGCCAUUGCCUGCACAUAGUCCAAUAAAAUAACCUCCAAAGUCUGAUUGAUGCAAACUUGAUGGCGUUGGAAAAAGGACUAAUAAAACUUAUCAUGGGCCACCUCACUCUUUAUAUGUUGACAGUUUGAAGUUGACCUUUAUAUGAACUCAUGCGAGAACAUAGCCGAUAGAAAUGCUUUGAACUUGGCUUGGUGUUUGAGGUUCCUUAUGACCCUAGAUAACUCUCGAUACCCUUGACAAACUUGGCAAUGGACCUUACUACAUAUGAACAAGUAGUACAUCACCUAGUUCAAGCUCAUAUUCUUAUGAUGAACGAUUCAGCUUUUAAGAGUAGAGUUGCAAGGUUUUACAAAAUGAUUCGAGUCUUAGCUUAUAAGAAAUUUUCAGGGUGUCACAGCAGAGCACGCGUUCAUUAUGCAUAGUAGUCUUCCUUCAGUUGAUAAACUCUUAUUUAAUAUUAACAUGAGUACGAAAUUAUUGUUUUUCUUAUAGAAUUUUAAUAUUAUAAAAUGUUUUUUAGGGAUGACAGGGAUCAGAUUAGUGCAUCAUUCCUUGGCAGUUAGUGUUUGUAUCUCAUUUUUUGUGCAUUACUUUGAACAUUCAAUUGUACAGUAGUGUUUUCCGUUGAGUUGUGCAGCAAUUGCAUUUUAACGUUAGUGGCAUUUGGUUGUCCACAUUACUUCACUCUUUAUUCUUCCAUUAUACCUUUUAACUUAUGUAAUCUUUAGGCUAUUUAUCUUCUCGAUUUACUUCUCCAUUAUCUUUAUUCAUUGUAAGGAAGACUUCCUCACCUAUAAGUAGUGGUGGUUUUCCAUUGUUUUUUAUACAAGAAAAUAUAGAGUGCAUAAAAGUUAGUUAUAAAAUAGAGUUCUUAUUAAUUGAAGGGGAGUGUUCUUUUUGUGGACUUUUGGACUCAACUCUUUUCCAAAAUUUGUUAAGUUAUACUUUGUGAAUUAGCUAUUGUAAGAUCUUGGGCAUAUUUGUAUGUUUAAAAGCCAAGUGAACCCAUGUUUUAACUAAAUUUGAGAAUAAGUUUCGUUGUGUUUGUAGUUAUUAAGUCUUGUUUAUGUUAUUUUGGCUAACCAAAUUGUUUAGUGUUGUAGGUUGGAAAGCAUGUGCAUUGGAUAACCAAAUUGAGGAUGAAGUCAGAACAAGUGUGCAUGUCACAAGGAGAGCUGAAGAAGGAACUCAACUCCACUUUCUCUCCGUGUCACGAAUAAUUUGAGAAGAAAAAUAUGGCCACGAAAAUAAAUUGGAACCAAAGGCCUCCGAAAAGGCUCCCUGUCGCGGAGCUAUCGUGGAUCGGGAUAAAAUGCAAAAUAGGUGAGUCUUCCUUGACUUCGCUUCGCGGACCUGUAGACCAGAAUUUUGCUGCGUUUUCCAACCUAUAAAUAAAUUCAUCUUUUUAGGUUUAAUAACCAUUUGAUCUUUGAUAUCAUCGGAGUGUAUAUAUAUAUAUACACACACUCUGGUGGUAUCUAGAAAGAAAAAGUCACUUCAGUGAAAACACUACUAAGUUACUCCUUGAUACCAUCAAAGUAUAUAUACACUCUGGUGGUAUCAAAGAGCGAUUCAGUGAAAAUACUACUCAAUUACUCCUUGAUACUAGGGGUGGGCAUAAAUACCGAAAAACCGAACUGAACUGAUUCGGUUCUUCAGUUUCGGUUUGGUGUUGGUGUUAUUUUUUCAAAAGUUUGGUUCUUCGAUUCGGUGUUAGGGUCUCAGAACUUCGGUGCACCGAACUGAACUUUUAUAUAUAUAUAUAUAUAUAUAUGAGAAUUUUCUUAACUAAAAAUAAAGAGUCAACUAACAAUAAAAUCAUAUAUGAACAAAUCAAAGUAGCAAGAAAUGUACAAUUCAAAUAUUAAUUUCCAAGAGGAACCAAAACAUAUUUUUUAUCAAUCUACGUAAUGUAAAAGAAUCCGUCUUCGUCCUUGUUUUUCUCGAGAAUUAGUUGGAUGCACAAUGUUCUUGACAAAAAUAAAUAUAAUCUUUUAAGUUAGCACAAUAAGUGUUCCAUGGUGAGACACAAUAUUUCUUAACAUACUUUUAAAUUUUUAAGUAUCUUAUAUUUUGAUUUUGUCCUCAUUUUAUUUUUCAUUCACACUGAAGAACCGAUUUCAAAACACCGAACUAAACCGAACCGAAGUAGAAAGAUUCAAAACGAACCAAAAUAGUUUGGUUUGGUAUACGGUACACACUUUUCUAAAACCUAAAAUCGAAGAAUCGAAUCGAAGUUUGAUAAAACCGAACCGAAGAACCGAACAUCCACCCCUUGAUACCAUUAGGUUAUAUAUAUACCCUAGUGGUAUCAAGUAUAAAUAUACCCUAAUUGUAUCAAUUUUAGCUAAAUUUAUACUUGAUACCUUCAAAGUAUAUAUAUACUCUACCGGUAUCAAUGAAGAAAAAAUCACUUUAGUCAAACAUUUGAUAUCAUCGGCAACUAUAGCAUUAACAAGAGCAGUGCCCACUAAACGAGCCAUAUGUUUCAUCCUUUUCCACCAUUUUUCAUUAACCUCACUGGCCGCAGUUGCAGGGCUUGAACCAACUUCAAUUCUUCUGAGAUGAGGAGGAGGAGACACCACCGGAGACUGAAGAGGAGCAAGACCCUUGAAGGUUGGACUUGAACCAACUUCAAUUCUUCUAAGAUGAGGAGAAGGAGACGCCAUCAAAGAGUGAUGAGGAGCAAUACCCUAGACGACGGAAGAAAUCGGUGCCGUCAGUUUCAACGACGACCGAAGCUCUCUCAGUUUCUACUAUAGUAAUAAAUAAUUAUUAGGAUUGGGCUCUAUAGCGGAAUUGGGGGUUUGAUUGGACCACUAUAGAACAAUUGAGGAUCUGAUUGGGUCGUUAUAUAACCUUUAGCUAAAAAAUUUUUACUAGUGAGACCUAAAAUCUACUUGGCGAAGAAUGAGAGACCUCACACAAGUAUUGUAUAUGUGUGUCUCUCACACCAUAAAAUAUUUUAAACAAUUUUUAUAAGUAACUUUAAAUAACUAAUAAAAUAAGAAAGUUGAUAUUUGGGGUUGGGGUUUUAUAACAGAAUGGGGGUUUUAGAAGGAAAAGCAAGUCGAAAUUUGGGGUUAGGAUUUUAGAACAGGGGUUUUAGCACAUAAAAAGGUUUUAUAAGGAGAGAUAGGGGCUUCUUCUUCUUUUUGUUUAUCUAUGUUAGUAAUAAAAGAGCGAUUAAAAACUUAAAAGAAUAA
Molecule: long non-coding RNA, 10902 nt
Filed under: Solanum tuberosum (potato)
Lineage: Eukaryota; Viridiplantae; Streptophyta; Magnoliopsida; Solanales; Solanaceae
Description: long non-coding RNA (STUB_LNC007445)
Source: RNAcentral